RNAcentral lists this ribosomal RNA (730 nucleotides) under uncultured bacterium. RNAcentral describes it as "bacterial SSU rRNA". It matches the Rfam family "Bacterial small subunit ribosomal RNA", at positions 771 to 1501 of the family's 1533-position model. The record is from RNAcentral.
AACAGGAUUAGAUACCCUGGUAGUCCACGCCGUAAACGAUGAGUGCUAGGUGUUGGGGGGCUACGCCCCUCAGUGCCGAAGGUAACCCAUUAAGCACUCCGCCUGGGGAGUACGGCCGCAAGGCUGAAACUCAAAGGAAUUGACGGGGGCCCGCACAAGCGGUGGAGCAUGUGGUUUAAUUCGAAGCAACACGAAGAACCUUACCAGGGCUUGACAUCCCGCUGACCCCUCCAGAGAUGGAGGUUUCCUUCGGGACAGCGGUGACAGGUGGUGCAUGGUUGUCGUCAGCUCGUGUCGUGAGAUGUUGGGUUCAGUCCCGCAACGAGCGCAACCCUUGUCGUUAGUUGCCAGCAUUUCGGAUGGGCACUCUAACGAGACAGCCGGUGAAAGCCGGAGGAAGGUGGGGAUGACGUCAAAUCAUCAUGCCCCUUAUGUCCUGGGCUACACACGUGCUACAAUGGCUGGUACAAAGGGCAGCGAACCCGCGAGGGGGAGCCAAUCCCAAAAAGCCAGUCUCAGUUCGGAUCGCAGGCUGCAACUCGCCUGCGUGAAGCCGGAAUCGCUAGUAAUCGCGGAUCAGCAUGCCGCGGUGAAUAUGUUCCCGGGCCUUGUACACACCGCCCGUCACACCACGAGAGUUUGCAACACCCGAAGUCGGUGAGGCAACCUUUUAGGAGCCAGCCGCCGAAGGUGGGGCAGAUGAUUGGGGUGAAGUCGUAACAAGGUAACC